CAAUCUGAAAGACUGGGUGAGAAAAAGCUACGGGAACUAAAGGGGCCUAGACCACUCCUCCCUCGGUUCCGGGGGGCCAGUUGGCGCGGAAGCAAUGGGAGGUACGAACUAACUGCGUUUCUGCAGGCCUCAGGAGGGGGCGGAGGGCGGUGGCUGCACCGAAAGAAGCCCAAAGCGCCAUCCGCGUCCCCGGAGGUUCUCGCUCCUGCCACCAGGAGCCCCGGGGACCACUACGCCUCGGCCCCCUCACUAUACUGCCGCCGCCCCUUCUCCAGGACAGUGCGAUUUCCCCAGACUCUGGGGGGGGGGGGGGGGCGGGGUCUCCGACCUCUCCCUCUCUUCCCCGCCCUGCCCAGCCCGGCUCAGCGCGAUCGGGCCCGGCCCGGCCCGGCCCAGCCCCUCAGCACUCACGGCUCCGACUGCUCCGGCGGCUCCUCCCCUGCCCCGGCUUCUCCCCCACCCACUCCCGGCCGAAGCAGCGCCGCCGGAUCCGAGCCGCGCGGGGCCUGGCGGGUCGGAACACGUGGGGCCUUUGCGCCCGGAACCGGAAGCUGCGCUUGGCCCCGCCUCCUCGCGGCUGGAGCCCUUCUAGGCGCCGGGAGGUUUGGUGUCUCUGUGGGCGCCGCGCAGGAGGAGACUCAGAGAGCCGCGGGGGGAAAGCCUGGGGCCAGACCCCUGGCGCCCGCACGCCCCACUCCCGCGGCCCGCAGCCCUCGGUUUGCACACACGCAGGCUUUUCUGUUUUUGAUCUUUGCUUUGAUUUUGGCGUCUAUGCGUCUACUCGUUUUUCUUGAUUGUCCGCGAAGCACGGUUGCUAACAGCAGUUUUGAGUUUGGCUCCUGCGCUGGCCACCAUUUGUGGGGCCUCCAGCAACCCUUCCACCUCUCCGAAGCUCAGGGUCCAUCUAAAAUGGGUGUAACCAUUCCCUUGCUCCGAGAGCGAAGGGAAAUAUUGCACGUGAACUCUUUGGAACGCAGCAGAAGCUUGCUGAGAAUAGUUGUGGCAUCCUGUUCUUUUCUCGUUUCCUUGGACACGUCUUUGUGUUUCUUUAAGACUGACUUCCCCGAUCUCCUUUGCUCAGGUUGUCUCUGUCAGUGA
This 1098-nucleotide long non-coding RNA is filed under the name Felis catus (domestic cat). RNAcentral describes it as "lncRNA (ENSFCAG00000050104.1)". The record is from RNAcentral. Lineage: Eukaryota; Metazoa; Chordata; Mammalia; Carnivora; Felidae.